RNAcentral lists this long non-coding RNA (441 nucleotides) under Gallus gallus (chicken). The record is from RNAcentral. Lineage: Eukaryota; Metazoa; Chordata; Aves; Galliformes; Phasianidae.
GUCGAAGUUGUAAUCGCUGCGGGCCGCCAACGCCUGCUGCCCCUCGUCCAGCACCUUGUAGAACGAAUCCAUGGACAGCAGCACGACCCAGGGCACGUCCAGCGCCUCGAUGAUCCGCGUGGCCACCGUCGUCUUCCCCGACGCGCUGCCGCCGCACAGCCCGAUGACGAAGGCCUCUCCCACGGGCGCCCCGGUCUCGCUGUACCAGGGCGGCCGCCCGGCGGUGUAGAUGGUCCUUUUGCUGGUGCGCAGCAGCGGGGGCUCGGGCGGGCCCUGGCCUUGGCUGGCGGUGCGGCGGCGCGGCGGGGCCAGCGGGAGGCGGCUGAGCAGCGAGCCCAGGGAGCCGGGACCGGGGCCGGGACCGCGCUCGGGCCCCGCCGCGCCCCACUGCCCGCACCGCUCCCCCGCCUCCAACGCCGCCAUCACCGCGCGGCGGCCGCG